UUUUUAAUUUGUAUUUGAACCAUUAAUUUGGAGACAAGGUGAGGAUUUCAUAUUAGUGUUGAACUAGAUGUAGAUUUGGUAAUGUUAGUUUAAUUUUGAGUUUACUGCUGCAUUCAUCAUGUUUUGGUUUUUUUUUUCUUUUCCAAUUGAUUUUUUUUUUUCUGAGUUGGUUCUUGUGUCUACAAGUUGCAUCUUGUUUUCAUAUUCGGAUUCCUGAAUGUGCUAUGAUGUCAUUCUUAAGUCUUUUUUUUUUUUUCCUGCCUGUGGCCCCAUUGAUUUAUGAAUAUCAUCUUUGGAAGCUUGUUAUGAUUGAUUUUUUUUCUUCUUCUUGUCAGUAUUCUACUAAAUACGUGUGAAGGUUGCCUCUUUUUUGGGGUUUUAAUGAAAGCUACCUAACAACCAAACAAUAAAAGCCUCUAUUAGUUUUUUUAGUUUCCUUUUAGUCCCUCUAAUUUUUUGCUGACCUUGUGCUUUCUCUUACUGACUGACAAUUGGAUGUUCACUUGGUGUUGUACUGCAGGAAGAGUGUUGUAAUUUUCUAUGAAUUGCUUGAUUUUCAUUCAUCAUGUGUACAUCUACAUAGGAAGCCCUGUUUAUUACCUCCUCUCAUGCUUAGGUCAUCUCCAACUCUUGGACUCAAACCUAAAAUAUCCUCCCAAACUUCUUCUAACCCAAGAAAAGAAAGGACCCAAAAUUUGGAAAAACUCAAAUUUGGACCCAAAUAUAGAUCCAAGUAUUGCCUGGACCCAAUACUAUUCACAGAACCCCACGCUGAGGUGGCAUAGCCCAUGUGCUUUUGAAAAAUGGUGAGACCCACGCUGGUUACAUUUUCUGAUGGGCUUGUCUGUGGCAUGGGCCACGUGUCGGCACUAUAAGCUAGAGCCGUUGGGCUUUGGCUAUUUUUUUUUUUUUAAAAAAAAAAAAAUCAAAUAGUAUCGCUGGGGCCCACAUGCUGGCUGUUUCCAUUAAAAAAAAAGACUUAAACAAUUCUUAAACAAUUUAAAUAAAGUUGCGGACUUAAAAUUUGAGUCCGGAGGGUUGGGAGAAAAAACGAUUUGAGUCCGGGCAAAGCUCAAAUAGUCACUUUUUAAAGGGGAAAAAUUUGGGUUUAGCCCCUCAUGAGUUGGAGAAUGCCUUACUAUCCUAGGAUUGUCUACCCUUCAUGUAUGUGAGUUUUAAAUUUUCAUCAUUAUAUAUGUUAUUAAACAUUAGAGAUUAUUUAAGGCAUCAUCUAUUAUCUGAAUUCUGCUUAGUCUUAGUUCCAUGUGCAUUAAUUAACUCUUUAAUUCAUACAUUUACAUUUUAGCAACUUGAUGUGAUUAUUGUGGCUCAUACCAAAAAGGCAAUCUUAGGCUCAUCAAGGAAAGUCAAGCUUCCAAGUGACUUACUGGAUAUUAACAUUUUUGUAGUGCUGAAUAUUUAUUUGUAUUGGAUGUGAGAUUUCAGUUUGUUGCUUUAUGUAAUUAUUUAGCAAUUUAAUUAUUUCUUUGCACCUUUUGUUUACGAAGCUUUAAUUUUCUUUUUCAGUCAUACUAUUCUUUUUGUACUAUCUGUUUUUUUAUUUAGCUUGGCAUUGUGGUCGAGAUGUGGAUGUGAGUUUUUUUUGCUGAAAAGAAACCCAUUGUGAUUUGAGCUUUUUUUUUUUUUUUUUUUUUUUUUUUUUUUUUUUUACAGACAAGACACCCAAUAUAAUUAAUUUCAGUAUCUUUUUCUUUUUUUUCAUGUUAGGCAUAUUGUUGAUGUUGAAAUUUUUGUGACUCAUUUAAAAAGCAUUAGGUAGAAUUUCUUAAUUGUAAUGACAUUAUGUGCUCUGACAUUGAGUUCAUCUUCAUCGGAAUUGUUGUAUUAUAUUGAAGUUUGAUAUGGUAUUUAGGCGUGUAAUUACCAAAUUGUAAGGGGUUUUUUGCAGUUGGUGUACGUAACUUAGCAUACAAUUGGCAUCCUUUUUGCAUUUUCAUAAUGCUAUUACCAACUGACUAGUCUGUUAUUGCAAUUAGAGUAUGCGACAUUAUAUUUGUUGCCUUGCAUUUUUGUAAUGAAAAUGCAACAGGUACUUCAGUAUGUCAUUUUUGAAUCCAAUUAACAAUUGGUUAGUCCGUUUUUACAAUUAGUGUAUGCAUAUUGUCAUGUUAUUGGUAGCCUUUUCAAUUUGCACAUUGUUAGAAUGCAAAUACAAUGUGUGGUUUGUCAAUGCAAUUGACAAACAGGUAAUGUCAUUUGCAUUCCAGUCAUGCUAUUGAUAAACAAAGCAGUCUCAUUUGCAUUCCAAUCGUGCAAUUGCCAUUAUCUAUGCAUAAUUAAUUGAAAAUAUAAAUACAAUAUGUGAUUUGUUAAUGAAAUUGACAAACAGGUAGUGCCAUUUGCAUUCCAGUCGUGCAAUUGACAAUCAUAGUAGUCCCAUGCUUUAUAUGUUUAUUAUGAAAAUACAAAAGAAAAUUGAACUAUGCAGUUGGACAAGUUUAUUUUUCAAAAUAAACAUUUGAAUUGAUUAAGGGUAAAAUAAAUACAAGUUAAUAGAAAGUAUUAGGUCAUACAAAUCCCACAUAAAUAAAGGUACAAAGCAUUAGAUUUUCACAUAUUAACUUGGGUUAUUCGCAGCAAUAGUUCCUCAAUUAUACCUGUAGUUACAUUUGGGUCACUGAACUCAAUUAUUAGUUGCAGAGGUCACUUAAAUAUGUGUUUUGUUACACCAAUAGUUCUUCCGCCAAGUUCUUUUAAAUUUUCUGUCAAAAAUGAGGGUAAAUUCGGAAAUUCAUCCACAACCCUCCCUAUCCUCCACAACUUCAAAAUUUGUAAAUUUGUAAAUUCGGAAAUUCAAAUUGAAUAUCAACUAAUAAAAAUUCUCACAAAUCUACUAUACAAAACUUCAAAACCCUAACCCACAAACCCCUCUUCCCUCUCAACCUCUAGAUGGUUUGCAAAUUGACGGCGAACUGAGUCUAAGAAAGAUUCCUCUUGUGUCAAACUUAUGGUUCAACCUUCCAUUCUUGUUUGCUCAUUCGAGGAGGUCCAAAGAUUCAUCAUUUCAGCACCUACCUUUUUUCAUUUUUGUUUCAAAAGUCUACAAAUUUUAGCACCCAUGAGUCAGAUUUAAUGGCUCUUGCAAAAGAGUCGGGUUUUAAAUUGGUGUAUUUGAAUUGGAUUUGAAGAUUAUGGAAGACCGAUGUGAUUUAGGAGAAGGGUUCAUCUCGAUACGCAAAUCGGAUUCAAAGGUUGGUUCUUUUUCUUGCGCUUAUUUUUUAGGUUGUUUUAGAUUGUUGGGGACAAGCAUGUGAGUAUUGAAUUGGGACAAUAACGUGACUUGGGUUCUCGUAAGUGGCUUAAAAUGCAAGAUCUUGAAUCUGUUUGCUGGUCUGAAGGUAUUUAUUAUGAAUAUUUGAAAAUAUUCUUGGUGCUGUGCGGCAUCUUUUUAAUUGAAUUUUUUGGUGUCGACAAGGAUUGGGUUGCGGCAAUGGAGGGUUGUGGAGGUAGGGGAGGGUUGUUGAUGAAUUUCCGAAUUUAUCCUCACUUUUGAUAGAAAAUUUAACAAAAUUUGACGGAAUGACUAAUGGUGCAACACACCUAAUUCAAUGACGUCUGCAACUAAUAAUUGAGUUCAGUGACCCAAAUGUAACUACGGGUAUAGUUGAGGGACUAUUACUGCGAAUAACCCUAUUAACUUUUAUUGUUAAGCUCUUUUUUGUUAAGUUAGAUCUCACUUUUAAAUGACGAUGGGAAAUUUGUCUCUUGUUUGGCAAUUUCCAUUAAUAUAUAUUUAUAAAUAAAUAAAAAAAAUUAAAAAAAGAGCAUGUUUUACCAUCAAUUACCCUAUUUGCUUCACUUUUGACUUCGUUUUCCACGUGAUUUCACUUCCCAUUCCUAAUGCUUUUGUAAUCCUAAAGUGAAUAAGUUUUUUUUUGGGUAAAAAAAAUACGAUUUUUGGCCUUUGUAAAUAUGUUGUAAACAUGUAUUUAAAAUAUAUUAAAAUUAAUAAAAUAAAUUUAUAAAGGGAAGGUGAGAUAUUAGAGAAUUAAAUUAGGUUCUUAUCCUUGUAAGGACUCAUAUGCAAUUGACAAACAGUUAGUGGAAAAUUGAAACUGAAUAAUGCAAUUGACAAAUAGUAAGUUCAAAACUGCAAUUGACAAACAGUAAAAUGGAACAUUCGAAAGGUAAAUUGGGUCCUUAUACUUAUAAACACAAAUGUUUACAAUAUUAAGGUCUCGUAUUACUCUAUGUUAAACAGGUGUGUUCCAUAAGAGUAUAAAAUUCAUCCUUAAUAUUGUAAUAUCGUAAUUUACAAAGAUAAAGACAUAUAGUACAAUAUUAAGGUCACUUGGAGCAUUAGGAAAGUAAAUUAGGUCCUUAUACCUGUAUAAGAAUAGGGUAAGAGUGGACCUUGGUGGAAUAAAUUUGGUCUUUGUCAUUGUAAACAAGGGAGUUUACAACAUAUAUGACUUCCGUUAUAUUUAUAUGGACAAAGGGGUUCCAUAAAGUUAUAAAAGAGAUCCUUAAUCUUGUAAUAUCGUAAUUUACAAAACUCGUAAUGACCCCCAAUACAAUGUUAAGGUAAGAAUGAACCUUGGAGUAGUAAGUUAAGUCAUUAUCCUUGUAAACAAAGUGGUGGUUACAACAUUAAGGAUUCGUAUUAUACUAAAAUGGACAUAGUCGUUCCAUUACAUUGUAAAAGCCAUCCUUAAUCUCGUAAUACCAUAAUUUACAACAAUAAGGAACCCUUGUAUAAGAAUAGAGUAAGAGCGGACCUUGGUGGAAUAAAUUUGGUGCUUAUUCUUGUAAACACAAGGGUUUACAGUAUUAAGGACCUCUUUUACAAUGUUUUGGACCUUCAUGUUCCAUAAACUUGUAAAGUGUAUCCAUAAACUUGUAAUAUCAUAAAUUACAAUAGAAAGGAUCUCUAUUACAUGGUUAAGGUAAUUAUGGACCUUAGAGAUGUAAAAUUGGUACUUAUUUGUGUAAAUGCAAUGGUUUAUAACAUUAAGGAAUCGUAUUACAAUGCUUUGGACAUAAGCUCUCCAUAAACUUGAAACGUAGAUUCUUAAUCUCGUACAUUACAAGAUUUGGGUUCUCAUUUAUGAUUUUUUACAUCAUGAUUACAAUUUUGAGGUUCUUCCUUAUCCCUACCGUUGUAAUAUCCUGAUUUACAAUUGAAAGGAUCCCUCUUACAAUGAUAAGGUAAGGAUAGACUUUGGAGAAGUAAAGGUGGUCCUUACUCUUGUAAACACAAGGGUUUACAAUAAUAAGGACCCCUUUUACAAUGUUUUGGACCUCGACAUUCCAUAAACUUGUAAUGGGGAUCCUUCCUAUUAUAAAUUAGGGUGUUAUGAGAUUAUGAAAUAUGAAGAACCUUAAACUUGUAAUUAGAUUGCAAAAACUAAUAAAUGGGAACCCAAAUAUUGUAAUCUAUGAGAUUACGGAUCCACUUUACAAGUUUAAAGAACUCUUGCGUCCAAAGCAUUGUAAUACAAAUCCUUAAUGUUGUAAAUCAUUGUUUACUAGAAUAAGGACCCAUUUUACAUCUCUACGGUUCAUCAUUACCAAUUCCUUGUAAUAUGGAUCCAUAUCCUUGCAAAAGGCUGAUUUUUUACAACAUUAUGGAUUCGGUGAACCCUAACGUUGUAAUCUAAGAGCAAAAUUUUGUAAAUUGUUACCCAAACUUGUAAGUUAUGAGUUUAAGGAAUUGGUAAUGGUAACUCAAUCACUUUCUUCUCCUUCAUUGCGUAUUUUGUUAUGUUACAUACUUAUAUAAAAUUUUGAAUAUUUUAGUUAAAAUUGUACAUAUUAUGUGUAAAUAUCAUAUUUAUGUAUUCUAUAUUGAUUAUAAAGUGCAAUAUAUAUUAUUUAAGUAUUAUAUUAUUAUAUAUUCUUAUUUAACAUUUUUUUUAUCAGAACAUGAACCAAUUAUAUUACGAAGAUAUGAAUAAAAAAAGGGAGACGGAUAAGUAAGAAUAAGCAAGAAUACAUAUAUUUUUAUAUAUAAUAAUAUGUCAUCUUGAGAAGUAAUUAUAGUGUGGCUUCAGAGUAUGUCAUAUAAUAUUUAUUAUAAUAUAAGUGGAUAUUUAUUGAUAUUAUGUCUUAAAAGUUGAAUAUCUAAAUACGUAAAUGAGUUAUACUAUGUAGUCGUAUUUUUGUUCCUUAUAGUAAUUUAUUCACAUUUAAGAAAUAACAAAACAAAAAGAAUAGUUUAGAUGUUCAAAAAUUGUAUUUGGUUUCAAGUAAAAAAAAAAAAUUCAGUUUGGCCAAUUGGAUUUAUAUAAAGUUACCCAAGUUUUAUUGAUUUUGGUUACAAGUUAUAUAAAGCAACCCCUAACUCAUGAAUCAUGAAAAAAUCUGCAAAUGUUGUGAAAUAAUUGAUAUAAUUAUAACAAACAUUAUAGUCCACCCUAAUCCAUAACACUGUAAUACUCUAAUUUACAAAGAAAAUGAUAUAUAGUACCAAGGUAAGAAUGGACUUUGGACGAGUAAAAUUAUGUCAUUAUCCUUGUAAACACAACUGAAAAUCUUGUUAUCUAUGAGAAAACUUGUAAACUUUCUACUUUUAUACUUGUUUUUCUUGAUUUUAAUCCUAACAAUGUAAUAUAAAAUACAUGGUCAUGUUAGGAAAAGAAUAUAAAUUUAUAAUACUUCGUGGAUGUCUACAAAAGUACAAAUAUGUAACAUAGAGUUCAACAAGUAAUAUAGUUCUUAUUUUAGAAAUUGAUUUCAACCAAUUACAUAGACAGAACUCGAGGUGAAAAAAUUUGAUGGAUAAAGACUUUCAAGCUCUCAAAUAAAUAUUGAUGCGCAUUCACCAAUUCUAUGAAACAAAAGUAACAAAAAAUUAAAACUAUCAACCUCAAUUGAUGUUUAAAAACUAGGCAUAAAAUACAGAGGAAUUAACCACAACUAGCCAUCAUAAUUCAUAUAAAUAAAACCAGCAACUCAUAAUGAACUUGAGUAAAGCUACAAUGAGGUGACAUAUCGAAAUCAGAAGAAAAAAAAAAGUCAAACAAUUCUCAUUUAAAAAAAGUCUAAAACGGUAGCUUUAGAUUUAUAAAAGCAAACAAAUAUCAUUGUGAAAUUUAUAAGCAUGUCAUCAUGAGUCAAAAAGAAUAAACUCAAUUGAAAAAUAACAUGUCCAAUCAUAUGCCAAUUGCCAGACAGAAAGGGCAAAAUUGCAUGACCCUAAUGCAAUUGCAUUUUCAAAAAGUAGAAACUUGAUAACUUGUAUAACCGGUAACCAAUUUUUUUAAAAAUCUGGAAGAAUCAUAUAGGAAAAAUGGUGCAUGGGUGCACCUGGUGCACUAUAGAAGGUGCCUACUUCACAUGCCCAAACUACUCAUCCAACGAUCAUAAGAAGUGGCGCAUCCAUGCGCCAAGUGCACUGUAGAAUUUUCCCUAUAAAUAAGUCUUGUCUGGUUUUGUCCAAAAUUCAAUCUUUUAGAUUUCUUUUGAAUAUUUUAUCAUUCUCCGCAGGGGCGGAGCCACACUAGGACCAGUGUGGUUCCCGUCCCCCCCUCAAGUUUUUUAAUUUUUAAAAAGUAAUAUACUGUUAUGUAUUUCUACAUGUAUAUUAUUUCAAAUACUUUACACUUUGAUAUGUAUCCUUGUGGUGGACCUAUUAAGGCACAAGGAGGUGCUUCAAAUUGCCCCUUUGCUCAGCUGGUGGUGGUGCACUACAGGUGUACAGAUUACCUUAUUUCCAUUUUCAAUAUUUAAGUAAAUGUCUUUGUCCUUUUACUUUCAUUUAUUUUUAUAUUACUUCAUUUACUUAAGUUUACAAUGUAAAUAAGGAAGUACCCCCUAUUUGGAUUCAAAUAAAUAUACUAGAAAAUCAAAUUCCCACCAAAUCAAAAUAUGAAAAAUCGGUUUUAGUGCAAAAUACGAUUUAGGCUAAAAAUGAUGGCUCAUUUAGUCAAUAUAUAUUUCAUACUAAAAUCUCAUAAAAUCAAGUUUUCUUAUUUGAUGUGUAAGGAAUAAAAGCCGCCAAAAAUUAUAUUGAGAAAAUGAUUAUUUCGAAAAACCAUUUUUCAUACUUAUUCAAUAUUUUUACAUAAAACAUUUUUUCAUGUAUGAUAUGAAUGCAUGAAGGGACCUAAAGUUUUUUUUUAGUUUGUGAAAUUUUGAUUUUUUUUCUUUCUAUUGGGUUUAAUGGGGGAAAAAGCUUUAAAAAUAUUUGCUAAAUUGCUACUCUUUGUCUAUCUCUUACAAUUUUUCUUGCUUAGAAUGUGUUUGUCUAUCGACAAUUAUGAUUGCAACCAAUAAGCAAUAUAAUUCUUGAGAUAUGUGAUAUAUAUCUAUAUAUAUACUAUUUUUCGUAUGUAUUGUGAGUUUGAAUUUUUUAUUCUUUAUCAUUUGUAAGAGGCCCCCACACACAUAAAAUCCUGACUUCGCCACUAAUUCUCCACAUGCCUUUUGCUAUAUCAGUCCCGAUCUCUUGGACCACAGGAGUCCAAGAGAUUGUGGUCACCCACCGUUGGAUAUUAAUUCAAUGGUUGAAAAAAGUUUUUUAAAAUGAGUGCAAGAGUGAGUGAACCGUUGAAUUUACAUCCAACGGUGAGUGACCACAAAUUUCUUGGACCCCUGUAAUCCAAGAAAUCAGAACUGUUUGCUAUAUAUAUAUAUAUAUAUAUANNNNNNNNNNNNNNNNNNNNNNNNNNNNNNNNNNNNNNNNNNNNNNNNNNNNNNNNNNNNNNNNNNNNNNNNNNNNNNNNNNNNNNNNNNNNNNNNNNNNUUUUUCAUAUCACAGUCAUGGUUGAAUAACAAAUAACCAUGUCCUUACCAUAUAUAUAUAUAUAUAUACAGUCCCGAUCUCUUGGACCACAGGAGUCCAAGAGAUUUGUGGUCACUCACCGUUGGAUGUAAAUUCAACGGUUCACUCAAUCUUGAACUCCUUUUAAGAAACUUUUUUGAACCAUUAGAUUAAUAUCCAACAGUGAGUGACCACAAUCUCUUGGACUCAUGUGAUCCAAGAGAUCGGGACUGUAUAUAUAUAUAUAUAUAUAGUAAGGACAUGGUUAUUUGUUAUUCAACCAUGACUGUGAUAUGAACACGUGAAUUAUUGAGAGCGUAUAGCAUUAGCAUUACGCUUGAUAUUGUUAGAAACCAAGGCCGCUAUCACUAAAUUGAGAGAGUUAGGCCACAGAGCCCAUCAAACCAAACCAACUACAUAUUUCUUUCCCAGAAGUAAGCAAAUUUGACGGUCAGAUGAGCCCCUUAUUUUGACUUUGAUGAUAACAAAAAGGGUCAUCUCCUCCAACCACACCCACUCUUAACACUCUCACUGCAACUCUCUGUUCUCAAUGACUAUUGCUUGUAUUCAAUCUCUUUGUAAAGCCCCCACCUUUCUUCUCCCUUCAACUUUUCUGGGUUCCUCUUAUUUCUUGCAGAGUCCACAAGCAAACCCAUUUUCAAGAAACAGAGACUCCAAGUAUUACAUAGACAGAACGAUUGACAAUAAAAAAACAAGAGGUGGGAUUGUCUGUGGGGUGCUUUUCCCAGUUGAUCCAUGGGCACCCAGCAUUGAUUCACAGAGCAUAGCUUCACAGCUCUUUGCAGCCUCCUUGUUUCCCUACCUUGGUUUCUUGUACUUCAUCACCAAAUCAAAGUCUGCCCCAAAGCUCACCCUUUUUGGGUUCUACUUCUUGCUAGCUUUUGUGGGGGCCACCAGUGAGUUUUUCCAUUUCUUUUCAUUCUAUUACCUUUCUACUUUUUUAUGCUCUCUUCUCUUGGGUUUUGGGUAUCCCUUUAGAUUGCCUUAAUUUAGCAUUGUUAAGCUCUUCAAGUGGUUGCAAAUUGAUAUGUAAACCACAGACUCCUUCUACAUUACAUUCUAUUAAUUUAUUACAUAUGGCCAACACAUGGGGCAUAAAAGGAAGAUGGAAGUGGACCUAGUCAAGGACCUGAACUUAUGCAUGUCUUAUGCUUUUGUACCAUUUGUCGACAGUGAUUAUUGUUUUAUCAUAUUUCUUUUCUUUGGGCGGCUGGAAGAUUUGUUUAUAUAGCUUUGUGAUAGGCUUCUAGUGUGUUUGAAAUCCAAAAGACAAUGCUUGUUGUGGGUCUGUCAUAGUUCAAUUCAAUGGCCCCUGCAAAUAUUCACUCUAGUUUUGUAAAAAUGUUACAUGAUUGUUUUGUUUCUUAUUGAAAUUGGGUUGGUAUUGUAAAUUGUUUACUGUCAACUGCUGUGUUUGAACUCUAUUAACAUCCUUAUUUUUGUUCGUUGCUUUCCUCUCGUCUACUGAGCAGUCCCUGCUGGAAUUUAUGGUAAGUUUUCACUGUUUGAGAAUGUUGUACACUUCAUAUCAGUUCAUGAACUGAUGCCUUAUGGUACUCUGGUUAUUUGGCUGAACAGCAAAGGUGAAAUAUGGCACUUCAUUGGCGAAUGUCGAUUGGUUACAUGGUGAGGCUGAGGCACUUCUCACUCUAACCAACAUAUUCAUUGUGUUGGGGUUGAGAAGAGCCCUCAGAAAAGCUGAAGAUGCAAAAGCAAGAACAUCAACUCCUAUAUCAGGGUUGAAGGAGGAGAAGAAAACUUCUGUUUAGGUGCAGCAGACAGAUUUUGCUCUGGGUUCUUUCUUAACGCGUUUUAUUUCCAUGUUAGAUUUGAAGUCUUUAACUCUUUUUCUUCUGCUUUGUUACAAACCACUAUUGCCUAUGCCUAAUAUCUCUGCAGUCAUGUUUUCCCCUGUUCCCUUGAGAAGCCAUAGUCUCUCAUUUACUGUAUGUAAAGUCGCAACAUUUCUGUUGUUUUUUUAGCUGAGUCUUGAAAUGUUGGGUAAUUGUCCAAUCUAGAAUCGUAUAUACUGUUUAUAUUCCUUUUUUAUAUCUCUGUGUUUCUGUUAUGUGUUAUUUAAACAAGAACAUGACCUCCCGGUUCGAGUCUAUAAGUUUGUUUAUUUAUUGAGAGCAAUGUUGUAGGAUCUUCACUUAUCCUAUUUGGUUAUAAGAUGUGUUUGUAUGGAACUUCUGCUUUAUUCUGAACAAAUAUGGGCUUCAAUUGGAGUUAAAAGGAAAAAAUAUUAUUUGAAAACUAUAAUAUAAUCAAUUCUAUCCGUCGGCUAACAUCAGAAAAAGCUCUUAUCUUUUACUAGCAUUCCUCCUAUCUUAUAAUACAUGGUUGAUUCAAGGUGUGAAACAAGCUAGUAGCAACCUGGAUGCUACUUAUUCUUUUUCUCAAACUCAAGUAGAAUUAUGAGAAAAUUCCUGUGGUGUCAAAUGGGAAAUUGGGCUCAAUUUCCACUGGCUCCAGUGGAAAAUCCAUCUCUGGAAUUGGAGAAUUGGUUGACGAAUUGUUGGCUGAGAUGAUCUCAGUAAGACCACAUUCUGAAAGUUGCUCGUUUCCUGCAAUGUUUCUCAUCUGGCUUGGUGGCAUCAAAUAGUAGUUUGAUUCGCCUGCGGCUGGAGAUAGCAAUGAAUGAUUGAAGUUGUCAAAGAAAGUGUUGUUAUCAUCAAGCAUUGAAGAUAGAAAGGCAUCAUCAGGCAUCAUACAUCCAAAUGAAGUUGAAGUGAAAGAGAAUGGAGAUGCCAUGUUCUCUCUGUCUUCCAAGAACUUGGUAUCAACUCUCAGAUUAGUCGGAAAGCUCAUUUGGAUUCCUUGAGACUGCUGUUGGUGAGAAGUAUUAUUUUGCUUGUUUCGUUUUUGUUCUUGCUGUUCUGGUGAUGGUGGUGGUAGAACUGAAUUGCUACCAUGAGAACAUGUAUGCUUUCCUUUGUAUGUGAUUUCGAAUAUCGUGGGGUCUUCAUCUGAUCUUUGCACUUGCUUUGUAGCAUAACAGCUUUGCGUGUUUCGGUAGGUGCAUCUGUAAUAGCUUCUGCAAAUUUAAACAAAAUUGGUCAUCAGAAUGUUCAUAACAAAGUGAUAUUUCUAUGAUGCAGAAGACUGCUAUAUUUCCCGUUUGUGGGUCAACCUCAAAAGACAAAGCUUUGUGCGCGUGCGUGUAAAAGGUAAAGUAUUAUAUGUUGCUUUUUGAAAUGUGGCAUCGGUGACUGUUACUGCAAAUGAUUGCAUGGUUGAAUGGAUUCGCUUAUAGGAUUUUACAACAGGAUAAGAUUAAGUAAAAAGGCACUUUAGUUACCUUGGAUGUUUGGCUCCAAGGAUGUCCUUCUGUCCAUAUUUUCUCCAGCUAUGGCCAUCUUCAUGAGGUCCUUCAAUCCCAUUCUCAGAGCUAACUCUCAUUACAUGGUCUGUCCAUUUGGCCAUGAUCUUUCUGCAAUAUGCAAAAUCAAAUUAGCAUUUGAUUUCUUGGCAUCAUAUUCUCUACAUUUAUGACUUAAUGAAUAGUAUAAGCUCACCUCUUCUUGGAGACAUCUGUGAGGUCCUGAUGAUCCUUGGGACUCUUGUUAUAGUCAUCAAAACAAGGACCUGCGUAAGCCGACACAAGAGACUCCGGCACACUGGCUAUUGCACCCGCAGUACUUUGAGCCGGCCCACUGAAGUUCAGUAUCAAAAGGGCUUUCUCAUAGGAGGACAAUAUCCUCUGCACUAAAAAUUGUCUGGUGUCUGAUGAAGAUGCUGCACUUAGACUUAGCCUCAACUGUUUUGCUAGUUCCAUCCCUUCAAUGAUCUCAGUUAGCAGUGACUUGUGCUCCCAGCUCUUACUAGAAUCCAUUUCUUCAAUUCUAUGUAUCUAUUUCUAUAUCGCAAUUGGAACUGUGAGCAAUAUAAGAUGCAGAGCUUUAGUGCUACUUCACGUCCGACAGAAGAACAUGCAUUGCCUGCAUCAGCACACCUUCACCACAUUGGCUAUGUAUGAUUGGUUAUCAAGGAGCAAAAUCCUCCCACUUAAAUCCCAGAAAGAGUAGAAGCGAACGGGAUUUGGAAGUUCCAAUUUGUUUCAAGUAAGAAGCUGUACACAUGGAAUUAGUAUCCAGAAUUUUGAAGAUUCUCUAAAUUGUGUGUGCAGAAAGAGAAGAAAGUAGAGUAGUGAAGCUGCGUAAGCCAAGAGAGUGAGAGACUUGGAUUUAAAGGAGAAAGUGGAGAUGCUAUAUAUAUACAUGUAGAGGUGACCAAUUUGAAUGGAGAAGAAAAUUAAGUGGAGAUUGGGGAGUAGAAAGUUGAAGUUUGACUGAGAAACCGAGUUAUUCAGCUCUGACUGGUCUUUGGUCAUGCAUAUAGAAAAAAAAAAAUCUACGCUGACCAUUUCCACAUCUUCUAAUUCUCUGAAUCUUUAACUUGUAAAAAGGGUCCCUCUCUCUCUCUCUCUCACAGAUGGCAACAGGGGCGGAUUGAGGCCGAAUAUGUCAUUACCAUCUCAGGGACCCAGAUAAAUGGGUUUGAUAAUUAUUUUAUUUAAGUUUUUUCCUUAAUAAAAUUAUUAAAAAUUAUAAUUUAGUACGUCUGUCUGUCGGGGGAAAAUUGUCGUCCCUACCCUCUCUCUGAUUUGUAGUUGGUGGGAUUUUUUUAUAUAUUUUUAUUUUGGAUUGCAUGAUUGAGAUUUAGAAAGGUGCUUACUAGGAAUUUUCGAACCAUAUUCCGCGUUAUUAUUUGGUAAAAUGUCGUCGCUCCCACUUCUCCCAGUAGUAGAGUAGAGUAUUGAAAUUGAAUCAAAGAGUGCAUGACGUGGCCCACAUAGUUAGAUUCCUUUUUUUUUUUUUUUUUUUUUUUGUUGCUUGGUUAUCUAGAACAUCGUCUUUCAUAUUAGAUGUCUUCUCUGCAGCCGCGUUUUUGUGGAAGAAAAAACAGAAGUGAAAAACUAUUUGGUAUUUGUUUAAUAAUUAAUUGGUCAAAAGGUCUUGAAGAACUUGGACAAUCUUACGGCCUCAAUCUGAAUUUGGAUCCCUUUGACGGGGUUAUUGGCCAUGAUUCUUAUGGUCGUUGUAUCCUUUGUUUACUAUACCUAAAAACUACGUAUUACAUAGACACUUGCGUAUCAAAAAUUAGAAAUGCAUUAUAAAUAGGGUGAAUUCAAUACAUCGCGCUAAGAUGUCAUGCGAUAUAUCAAAUAUAUGUGGUCGGUUUUGAGAUGUGACAAUAUAUCAGCUUCAAAAUGAUUAUAUACAAGUUUCAAAUAAAAUUAUUUCAAUGAUUCGUCAAUAGAAUAAGACUAUAUAUAUAUAAUGGUAAUUUAAUUACAAUGUCCAUGAUAUUCGUUUGUUGCUUGGAAUGCCUGGUGCAACUGACCCAAAUUCAUCAGUUUUGUUAGUUGGCUUGAUGAUAAGUUAUCAUCAUUACUCCAUUUGACUUCUUGGUUUUUCUAAUUUAAUUUCGUCAACUUUAAAACAAGCGCGUGUAUUCAUUUGAGUCGAACAUUUAUUAUAAAUAUACGGUAAUACUAAAAAUAUUAGAAUCCAGAUUUGCGAAUCUCUUGUUGGAAGUUUUGUCAAGUUGAGUGGAAAAAAUCGAUUGAUUAUUAUUUCAACUUAAACAGGCAAUUGCAAGUUGUUUGUGUGUGGGUACAAAAAUUUAACAAUUGAAAUUGACGUCCAAGCUACCUCUAUGUCGGGGAGAUAUAUAUAGUCCCAUUUCAUCGGGGAAUUCCAUAAAUAAUUUUAUUUGAAUUAUACUCUUAGGGUAUCCUAUGAAUUUUUUUCCAACAAUCCAAAUCAUCAAUUUUUUUAAGUCUACAUUCAUAGAUCAUUCUUGCAAAAAAUUAGACAAAUCAGAAACCAUUUCGAUAUCCAAUUGUAUCCUACAAAAUCAAUUAACACAGUGCUUCAAGAAAGUACUAAAAUUUUAAUAACACAAUUGAGUGGUCAAACAAAAUUGAAUUCCAAUGAUUUUUAAUAGGGAUGAUCUUUGAAUGAUUAUCUAAAACAUAGACUGUUUAAAUUAGUGAAAUACAAUGCGAAGUGAGCCUUACAAAUGUGUCAUUCAAAUAAGCUAAUUUGAGGGAUCUCUCGAUGGAAGCUUUACAUAUACAUCACAUAUUGUAUAACCCAAGCUAACCUAUGAGAGACUGAGUCGUCCCAGAUCCCCAUCCGGCGAAAGCCACAUGGGAUUUAGUCCCAGCUGGACCAAUGACAGCUACGUUAGCCUCCACACAAUCCAUACACUACGAUUAUAUAUAUAUAUAUAUAUAUAUAUAUAUAUAUAUACGACAUGUUGCUUUGUUUGAGUUCUGUCGUAGGCUUUUCUCAAAAACAUAUACUAUAUUUUUGUGGCAAUGAUCGUACCUUUAUAGGCUUUUUCCAACUUCACUUUCAUAGGUAAGUGUUUUUUUUUUUUCUUUCUUAAAAGACCUUUUUUAUUGAGAAAGACGAUAAUAUAUUAAAGAGAUAUUUAGUGAUAUACUUAUUCUUAGCACUAAUAUUAUAGAUAAAUCUUACACCAUUGAAUUUUUAUAAACAAGCUUAAAAAAAAAAAUCAAAAAUUGACAGCUGGCCUUAUUGAAUUUAAUAUUUAUUAUUAAAUUACUUUGAUGUCAUAUUGAGUGUUUUGGGUAUUUUUAUGAGAUUUUGGGGUUGGACUUAUUUUAAGAAAUUGAUGACAGUUUUGUAAUUUAUUAGAAGUUAAAAACCUCUUUGUUAUGUUGUAAAUGAGUUUUGAAUGUGUUUUGGGUAUAAUAGUAAAUCUCCCUAUAUUAAACUCACACACUAUACAAACUCAAACCCAGAACAUUUCUUACUAGUGAAUCCUUUGCAAGGUAGGUUAGAUUUAGUUUUAUAUUGAAAUCAUGUAUUUGUUAACCAAUUGAAAUAUACUCAAUGGUGCAUACGUGUCGCGACACAUAGCUAUUAUCAGACCAAAAAGUGGCUUUGCCCUCUACGAACUCAGUUAUAAUAAAAAGCUGUGAACCUAUAAAGAUGUGCUCAAGAUAUUUGAUCCAAAUGAUGUUUUUUUAUAAUCAAAAUACAUGACAAACCGCUUUAGCAUUUCUCUAUAUUAAAUAUUAUAUUGUACGAGGACGGAGGAAAGUAUAGGAGCAUCACUUUGACGUGAACAUUUACGAUUAAAAAUUAGUUUGGAACUUAUUCAGUGGCUGAGGUGGAUAAAGAAAAGCCAUAACAAAUUUUUUUUUUUCCUGCUCAAGGAAUAAAUAAAGGUUUGCAUAUAUAUGAUAUUUUCAAUUUUGCACGUCAUAAUGUAAAAGCAGAUUCCAAGAUUGAUAAAUAUGUAAAAACAAAAGAAAAAAGGAACCCCACUGACCACUUGAUCGCCUAUAUAAGAGAUCUAACCAAACAGCCUUCCACCACCAAGAGAGCUCAAGAACACUUAGCUACUAAAAAACCAAAACCCUUUUUCAAUCUCCUUUGUGAGUUAACUAAAAUGGCCUCAACGCAACGCCACAACAAGCCAGCAGCCAAGGAGGGCUCAUUGGGCCAUAAGGUUUCUGAGAUUGCUGGCUUUCUGAAAGGAGGUCACCAUGGAGAACACAACAGCAGCAGCAGCCACACUACUAGCACCCAAUAUGUCUUAGCCACCCCAGCAACUAAUGGGCAGCAUGGGCUGAACCAGCACCAUGCAACUGGAACCAAGAAGAGGGGUGAGCGCAAGAACAACAAGACAGGUGGCAGCCGAAAUCUCCUUCAGAAGAUCAAGGAUGGAAUUUCUGGCCAUAGCAGCAGCAGCAGCAGCAGCAGCAGCGACAGUGAAAAUGAAGGCUACCAAAAGAAGGCAAGUGAUUUAAGUGUAUAUCAAUAACAUAUGGAAAUAAUGCAAAACUAACUAUCUAACUGUGGGUUUAAAGAUGUUUAUAUUGUCAGACAGUGAAUAUCUUAGAUAUUCGUGGAUGUUCUUGAUGCCUGUUAAUGAUGUGUUUAUAAUGUACAUUUGUGUGGAUUUUGCAGAACUAAAUGGAACAGAUGUGGGAGAUCAGCAUCAACUAAAUAUCAGGGACAGGGGAAGGAAGAUGUGCCUCAUCAUCACUAUAUAUGAUAACUCAAGUACAAGUAUAUACCAAGUGUAAAAUACAAUAAUGGCCUUCCUGGCUUCUGAUCUCUCACCACUUGGUUAUCUAUAUAUGAUACAAGUGAAAAUAUAUAUAUGUAUAUGUCUCUGUCUCUGGCUCUCAAAAUAAAGUUAUUUUCGUGCGAUAUAUAAUAUAUUAAUGCUUCAUCCAAUAAACAUUCCCGAAAUUGAUGUGGCUCGGUGGAAAACAACACGAGAACGAAUGACAGAAGAAUGUAUGCACUCCAAACAUAUCGUCUUUGCAAUAAUAUACGCCAUGUCAUGUGAUAGAUUUUUGCCAUUAAUAACUUGAAACAAAUGAAAUGUUUGGAUCAAUCACAAGUUACCGACAUCAUGCAGGCACAUGGCAGUCAUUGAUUGGUGUAGGUCCCCAAGGUAGCUAGGUUUCUCACCAAAUCAGGCCAUUCGAAGAGGAAGUCACAUCUCAUCACAAUGAAGUUAAGGGUGGAUGGUGAGAAUAAUAAUUAAGUUACAUAUACUGAAUUUAUAAUACCUUGGAAAUUCAUGGUACUUUAACGAUUAUGGAUUAAAUAUCGAUAAUGUAUCAAGCACUGUAACGUACAUGAGUAGUCAUGUUGUUUUAUAAGAGCUAAAAAACUAUCUUACAAAACAUUCCGCUCUAGCUCACUGCUUUUGAGCACCAAGCAACCACAACAAAGCUUAAGAAAAACUAGAUGCAAGUAAUUGAGAAAGUAAUUGUUGGGUUAAACUCCAAUGGCAGAAACUUUUCAUGCGAGUACUUUUCGUAACGGAUAGGUCAAAAUUCAACAGCAGAUACAAAAUAAGCUAAAUAAAUCAGAUGAUGAAAGUAUAUAUAAGAGAGAGAGAGAGAGAGAGAGAGAGAGAGAGAGAGAGAGAGAGAGAGAGAGAGAGAGAGAGAAGGAUGAAGAGAGAAUUCAAUAUUUUUUGAAAAGGAAAUAUGAGAUGGCAUCAUGAAAUCUUAAUUCUUGAUGUAUAAAUCACGUUGUGAUAACUUAUAUGUCCUAAUUGGAGCUUGUAGCUCAAGUAGUUGAUAAUGUCUAUUUCAAAACAAGGUCAAAGUUCGAAUCAUGCCUCAUUUAUUCUUCCUGUAAUUUUUUUAUUUAUACAAGCAAUAGUCUAAACUAUAAGGUGGAGCAAGGGCGGAGCUAGGAUUUUAUAUUUGAGGGGGCCAAAAUGUUAAACACAAAAAGUUUAGUUUCAUAUUUUUUUUUGCCUAUUGAGUAAACUAUUGCUUACAAAAGCACUAAAUUGAAAUGAUUGGUUUUCUUUCAUAAAUGUAGUAUGAUUUUACUACUAUAUUCAUAUUAAAAUACAAUUUUGACAAGUAUUGAUUUGUGGUGAGGGGGCCAUAGGCUUAAGUAUAGCAAUUUUUCUUUGCAUUUGUUACCACAUCCAAUAUAUACAUUCAAAAGGGUUAAAUAAAUUGGAGGGGCCAGGGCCAUCCCAGGCCUUAGUACAGCUCCGCCCCUGGGUGGAGGGGAGUUUCACACACACACACUACUAAGGUGCUAUAGGGAUUCGAACUAGAGACCACUGAUCUGCAGCUCAAGGCCCUCUUCUACUAGACUAGACCCCAAUAGCAUCCUCCUUGUUAUUUUUUUUAUAAAAAAGAAAAGAAAAACUGAGAUGCCCUUGUUAUGAAAAAUGACCCAAAAAAGAAGUUAAUAAUUAGAUAAACGAAUCUCCAUGGUGGAAAAAAGAAAACAAGAAGAAAAAAAAUGGAGACAAGUAAAGCCGAAUCUAAUUUAUCUUGUCCCUUGUAUUGAUGUAUCGAAGGACUGUACAUCCGGGAAUUUCAAAAGAGGGUAUGGGACCAUCGGUAACGUGUUGCAUUUUCACUCUGAUCAAAUUCCAAUCUCCACUUAUUCCUUUUCCUUUUGUUUUUGGAAAUAAAAUAUACGCGUUUUCUUUUCUACAUGAUCCAUUUGUCACACAAAUAUCAUUAUUUUUGGUUAAAACUAUGCUACCGGCAAUUGCGCAUAGAAAGAUGGUGCAGAAGUAGUAAAGCUAAUAACUCUUCAGCAAAUAAUAGACAGAUAAACCAAUAGCAUAAUGAAGUUGCAGAUUGAUAGUACAAAAACAGCAUGAGCAGUUCACAUCACAAAACACAGCAAGCAGUUUAUGGCACAAAAACAGCAUGAGAACAGAAUCCAUAGACAACAUGAUACAACCCUUGAUUUACAUGGAAACUUUUCUUUGCAAUAUAAAGUGUCACCUUUCUCCAAGAGACCCUGACAAAAAGGAUGCUAGGGCCUGAAGAGCAAGAUCUUCAGCUUCGUCUUGCGUUAACCCAGUGGUUUGCAGAUGCUUCUUUCCAAUCUUGAAGGAGUGGUCACCACCAUCAAUCACAUGCAAACCACUAGGGCAUUUCAUCUUCUUGCGUGUAACUUCUAGCUUUUCCAAUGGACAGAGCGCAUCUUUACUACCCUUCAUGAAACAUAAUUGUAGCAAACAACAAGACACUUGUUAGAGAUAGAAAACUUAAGAAAGGCAUUGUUAUCUAACUGUAAAAGGAACUUUCAUUCAGCAAGGAUAAUAUAUAGAAAGAAAAUGAAAAUCUCAGUUUGGUCAUUCUAUAAGAAUUGGUACGAGAGAGCUGAAGAAUUAUAAAUCCAAAACAUUAAACCAAAUAUUUUAUAUUGAAUCUAUACAGUGCAGUAGUUUGCAAUUGAUGACCAGGAGGCACUACGAAAAAUAAAAAGAAAACUUGAUUCUAGAGAAAAAGAAAUACCUGUACUAGCAUUAUGGGAACAGAAAGUUGCAAAAGUAUUUCAUCUCGCACUGCUCCAUUAAUUCCCUGAAAUUUAAGAUACCCAGAUCAGACACAAUCGGUGGCAUAUUUAUGUAGUUCGGAGAAGUGCAAAGGGGAAAGGGAACACUUGUAGGUCACAACAUCAAUUGCUAAGGUUCCAAUGAAUGCAGAAUUUCUUCUUCAAAGAAUACAGAUAAUUUUGUCUCAACUAUUUUCACCUUCUAGUUUGUGUUAUUGAAGAUUUACUGCACGAUGAUUUCAUGCCAAUAACCCAAAAGAAAGAAGGAAAAAACAAAAGCAACAACAAAAUAAAGUACAUAAUGUGCACAAAUGAGAUGUGGGGAUAACAGCAGAACUCAGACCUUUAGCGGGUAUCCUAAGCAAAGUAUUGCUGAAGCACGAAUGCCUUCCUUGCAAGCUACCAUACAGCUGACCCUAAAGACAAAUGAAAUCCAAAAAUCAUAAAAAGAAAGCACAAAUGAUAAGUAGCAAAGAAAUUCAUUAUCAUUAACAUGUUAGAGUACUAAAAUGAAAUUCAAAUUUAAACAUAAACAAGGGAAACACAGCAGAGCUUCAUGAAUUGUCCAUAUUUCUAGAGUUGAGCACUGCAGCCAAUAUAAGAUGCAUACACUACACAACUGUUCACCCAAAAUAAAGCUCUGCAGAGAUCAAUAUACAUCUUUCAAAAGGGUAUCUCCAGCAUUACUUGAUUGCAUAGAGACUACCUUCUACUAAUAGAAUUUUAGGCUACAUCAAGUAAUCUUCAGUAGAAAGUAGAAGGAUUAUAACCUUGAACCCAUAGAUUUCCCGGCCAAAAUCAACGGAUGACCCGGGUAUUUAGCAACAGCCUUUCCGACAACAUCGGCGUGAAAGUCGACCAACUUUUCAGCCUUCGGAGGGGCCCUCCUUUUCCCACCCGAAAUGUCUGCCAAGCAUCAAACUUUAAGAUUAUACAAAAGAGAUAACAAACUCCAUGUAUAACCCAAAGCACCAUAUGUACCCAGUAAACCGAGAUUUUAGCAAAAUACAAAUGAACUUACAUGGGUAAUCAAAGGUAACAACUUCAACAGCAUGUAGUGCUUUUCCCAACAUAUCCUUCCACCUAAAUAAAACUCAAAGCUUCAAGCUUUUUACUUCAACAUUUCUUUUCCACUAUUUCAAAAAAGAAAGAGAAGAGAGACCUGAUCAUCCAGUCAGAAGAAGAGGGAGCACCAGCACCAUGAGCAAAGACCACCACAGGGGAUAAUUUCUCCAGUGUGGAUGAAGAUGUUGCUGACAUGUCGUUUGCAUCGUCUUUGCUCUGGUCCUUACGCCUGCGUUUUGAAGGGGGUGAUGAAGCCAUUCCCAGUCAAAGAACCCUUUGAAAUGAUUCCCAAUUUUCAACCUGAUCGAAACCCUAGAUAUCAGCCCUGAACUGAUUUUCGCGCCAAAUGUUAGGAAAGACGAAGACCCAACUAAAAGAAUGUGCUGCGCGCCACUCGGCGUCUCCUUACAUACGGGUUGGGUUUUUCAAUCAAUACAUUGGAUUGGGUUUAGGCUGAGCAAGGCCCAAUUUGGUUCAAUCCUGAAAUUAUCUAUUUUUAUAAUGCAAUAUUUUAAUUCUUUGAUUUACGGGAAGGGGAUUCAAACCCCGUGCAAGGGUUACAUUACCUAGACUAAUUGAGCUAACUCACAUCUACAUAGCCUGAAAUAUCAAAACUAUUCUUUACGGUUUGCUCUUUUUAUAUUCUUUUUAAUUCCUCGAUCAAUAUAUAUGAGGAGCAAAUUUCAAAAUCUUUUUCAAGUAUUAUAUAUAUUGAUUAAAUCAUUUACGCAUUUAGAAGCUCCUCAAACACAAGCAAUGGUACUCUGUUUGGUGUGAGGCGAUAAUGAGGAUUUACAAUGAGGAAUUCUUAAUAGCCGUUUGAUUAAUGAAAAUGUUAUUAUUAAACACUAAAUUGGAUCCUUCAACACAGCCCCUCAACAUAGACCCUAGUUAUAGAAGCUCCCGUGAGUUUUGACAAUCUCAAAAAUUGUCUCAAAAGUUGCCUUAAAACCCAAUUUGCAAAAUUGAGAAGUUCCAUGAAGAAUCAAGUGUGCAGCGUAGCUCAAGUUCGCAUGCCCCAUCACGGCCCAAUAUCCUUGAAAAAGAAGCAAGGAUCCCAAUUUUUGGUGGGACAGAGGGGCAUAAAAACCCAGAAAAAGACAAAAACAACUAAACAGUAUUAAUCAUAUGGAUCUUAGUAACCCCUAUUGAGUCACCCAUCAACAGAGGCCCAAGCCAAGUUGGAUUUUCCUCAAGAAACCAGCAACCCAGGUCGCUGUUGUGGCUCCAAGCAGCCAAUCUAUCAGCCACUGCAUUCUUCUCUCUGUAAAUGUGUUGAAGUUUACCUCUUGGGAUCUAGCUCAAAAGUCUCUUGCAGCUGCUACCCAAUCCAGUCGUAGGAUGACAGUUGUUCAGCUCAUUACUUAGGAUAAGAUUCACGACUGUGACAGAAUCCAUUUCAACAACAAUAUCCAUUAUGCUUCUUUUAAUAGCUAAUUUUGGAUCAAAAAAUAAUCCCCACAGCUUAGCUUCAAGGAUUUGCCCUUUCCCAAGUUGACAGCGAAUCCACCAAUCUAGUUACCCCAAAUGGUCUCUAAUAACUCCUCCAGCACCAAUGGAACCCGUACUUCUCUGGAGAGAUCCGUCAACGUUUAGCUUUAACACACCAUUCUUGGGGGGUUCCAAGCCAAACUAACCUGGAUUUUACCACCUCCCAACUGAUUAUUUAUAGAGGCUCUGAUCCACUCCUUGGCAGCAGACAGUAUCGGCUUGUUUAGGCCUAAAUUCCGCACGCUAGCCCAUCUAGGUACUGGGAUAUAUCGACGAAAGGGGUUUGGGCCUUGUUUUACAGAAAUUGGAAAUCAGCCCAGGAUAUUUUAGAAGCCCAUACCAUUUCGAACCAAUUCCAGAAUAAAUCUUCACAUGUUAAAGGUUAAUUACCAUUAAGGGUGAUUGAAUAUGAAAAAAGCUAGAUUCAAUUGGUUUAAUUAAAUACCCAGCUUCUGGAUUUUUUUUCCCAAGGGCUCAAGGUUUGAUCAUCACCAUUGAUUACUAAAUUCAAAGAUCAGAUCAGCAGAUAUGGGGGAGGAUUUUUCUUUCCACAAUACCCAUGUGAUCCCAAUGACAAGACGUCAACAGAAGAAAGAGCAGAGGACGUGUUGGGGAGUUGGUAGAAAGGUGAAAUCGGAAAACCACUCCCCAUAACCAUUAAAUGCAAGAAAAGAGGGCCAAGUUUCCUCCAUUUACUCGUGAAGGCCUUAUUAGUACAUACUUGGUUUAAAAGAGACAAAGAAAGAAAUAAGAGAGUUGGUUGUUAGAAAGUUAAAACUGAUCAUCAUGAAAAUGACUCUUGAUGGGGGUUCUUCUUGUCAGAUUAACUACUACCCUUUUUUGCGCUGGAACAGAAAAUCCUCUCAACAAUGUGUCCUCCAGAUAUUAAGGAAUAAUCACUCAUGCAGAUUUCCUACAAAUAUAGGAGGAUUUGAACAGGAUAGAGACAGCAAAAUCCAAUCAAAACAAAAACUCUUAGUCAUACUGACAAAAUCAAGUAAGAUCACAUGAUUCCAAAAGCUUUUAGACUUUGAAGUAACCAAGCUCUUUGGUUUGCAAAAGCCAUCCAGCCUCUGACGAAACAGGCAAAACUCAGACUUCUAACUACAAUUCAGUUCAAAGAAGCAGUUCACAAAAGAAACGAGACUUCUCUCGUUACAAAUUUGGUUCAGAGCAGAUGAAUCAAGUGAAGUUCGGGUUUUUCAUAAUAUGAAAACCUCAACAAAUUUCCAGAGAUAUCUUGAUAUCUCAUAAUUGCCUUUAUAGCUCUUAGAGGAUUCACAGUCAAGCAAAAUAGGUACUAAAGUACAGUCCUAGAUCAGCAAUCGUCAAUCCAGCCACUUCCAGUCCAAUCUAGAUUGAAGAGAUCUCAGUUCUGCCCAUUCAAAAAACCUCUCCAUGGCUAAAUUUGAUUAAAGCUCUGCCAAUCUCAACAUUGGUAUCGAUUUCCAGUUGAACCCCAUCAGUUAAAGAUGCUGAUGUGCAAUUUCAGCACAGGUAUAUCCAAUCUAGCCUAAGUCAUAGACAACAAUCCAAGCAGAAAUCAAAGCCCAAUAUCUUGAUGUCCUUCCGGACUUGGCAGUUCUCUUUUGUUUAAAUUGUGUAAUAGGCAGUUCUCUUUAAAACAGUUUGAUUUAUUUCAAUAUUCAUUUUUGACUAGACUUACUAGUUUUACUGUGAGAAAUAUAAAGUCCUCACCCACUUAGGCAAGAAAAGAACUUACUUGGGAGAUAUUCCUCACCCAAAUUCACAAUCACUUGAUCAAAGUCAAUAGCUUGGGCGAAAGUUAUUAAAUUUUUAUAAGUCUGUUAGGGUUUUUAGCUGCUAACAGUGGCACGCUCGCACACAAAAGAAAAUUAAUUUGUUGAUUACCAAUGGUUUCCAAGUCAAUGAAAAACCUUACCCUACCACCACAGGAACUACAUCAAAAUGGAUAAACACAGCUCUCGCAAACCAUCCUCAUUUUUUAAGGUAAAACCAUUUCUCCAUUUCCAGAUGUGCCAGCAGAUGACACCAAACAGAAUUUUCCAAGGGAUCGGCAGAACUUAUUCUUAGAGCGAAAGUUGCCGAGCAGCCAGGUUAAUAAAUAUGAUAGGUCAUUGUCCACUAUGACAUCUGAUUGAAACAAUGUUCUCUGCCUCUAGUUUCUUGCCACAAUACAUUGCAGUCCAUGGUAUCCAUCUAUCAUCACUAGCUGUAGCACAAAAAGCAUUUUGCCACAUGCUGAAUGCUUUAGAAAACUGUGGCUGAUCAUCCAAUUGAGUUAUGCCAUUGGCUGUGAAGAUAGAAAGCAAAAGCUAAGAUUAUAUUACAAGGUGGGAUGGGAGGAAUGUCAAACAGGAAUUGAAUUUAUAUCUGCAUUGACCUCAAUUGUGAAUAAGAUCAAAGAUAACCUUGAGAGAUGCCCCAUGAGAACCUAAGCUACUUUAAUUUUAUUCUUCUGCUCAAAGAUAAGCCUAAUUGCCUUGCCAAGGUUCUUAAGAGCCAACCCCCUUUUGCUUACGACCACAAAAGCUUCAAGUUGUACAAAUUUGAUUGGUCAGAAAAAUUUGGGAAAUCCACCUUGGAUUGGUGCUUUUGCUUAUCACUACUUUUUAUUUAAUUAAAUUUUUUAAAUGGGAUUAUAGAUAUGUAGACCCCACCAAUAUUGACUAACAGCAAUGUUUAAUUAUCCUUUCGCAAAAAAAAGAAAAGAAAAAAAAGCAAUGUUUAAUUAUCCCCACAUAACCUGGUGCUUCGUUUUUGUCUUUUUGUGGCCUUAAGGGCUCUAUAAAGGGGCUUCUAAGCCAAUGCUUUCUUCAACAAAUAAGAGCAAAGCUAAUGAGCAAGGAGUUGAAUUGAAUCUUUUAACAAGGCAUUGAUUGCUCACUCUCCCUCAAGGGCUUCUCAGCUUAAGGCAAUGAUAUUACACCAAGGUCCUUAGUUUUAAGGGGCACUUUGGUAUGUUUUAGGCUAUGAAGCUCGUUGGGGGGGAAUGACCAAGCUUUUGCCUCAACUUAUAGCAGGGUGUGCAAGGCAUUUUCUACGGAUCAAAAUCCAAGGCAUUUUUGUUGCUCACUCUCCCUCAAAGGCUUCUAGCAAUGUCAGAAAUGGCGAGCUCGAAGCCUUUGGGGAGAGUAAACAAAAAAUGUCUUGAUUUAUAUUAUAUGGCAAACCACAUUUGAUGGUGAGCAUCGGAGCUCAGAGGCUUUUCUUCUUGAUUUGCUUUUUGGAAAGGUGAGUGAUGCUUACUAUUUUCACGUCUAGCUUAGCUAGCUAGCUCAUGUAAUAAUUACUGGAAAUUUAAAAUAUCACACAAACUUUACCUGCAUAUAGAUGCAUGCUCACACACACACACAUAUAUAAUCAACAACAUGCAUGCAUGCACCAUACAUUUGGAGAGAAAAUUUGUACAUUUCAAAUAUUAUAUAUAUAUAUAUAUAUGUUCUUCAUAUUAAGGAAAAAUGUUUGGUUACUAAUGAGUCAUUCUUAAGCUUAGAACAAAUGCUAAAAAAAUUCUUUUUAAUUGAAGAAACGUUGUGAUGAACUUGAUAAUUAAGAUUUAUCUAACAAUUUAACUCAAGUUAUAUUCAUCAUGAGACAUUUAUAACGCGUGUAUAAUUAUUAAUAUAUAAAAGCACUAUUAAACUCAAAAAUAUUAGUGAACCUAUGUAUAUCGUGUACGGUAAUAAUUUGUGUGUAACACCAUAUCAAUAUGCAAGGUAGUUUUGCCGCAGCACAGUAAUUUUUCCUUUCAAAGAUACGAGUCCAGACUCCAAAUAGAGUGUUGAGAAGGGGAGGGGUGGGGGUAGAGUUGCCCUUUCGUUACAUCCAGGUUUCCCGCUGCAUGUAUAAUAUGGCUCUUUCAUGAGUUGACUGGUCCUUGAUGCAUAUAAAAUAAGGAAUCUUUUCAUUACAGGAAAAACAAAACUUUUUUCAAAUUGCAUCGCUAAUCUCUAAUGCAACAUGAUAACUUAUUGGAUGUGAACAAACAAUUCAAUUUCCACAGCUGCCUCUCAAGAAGAGAGAAUCGGAAAACCAGCUUUUUCUUUGGGUAAUUAGAAGAAACCAACAUGGCUGCUUGAUUAGUACUACUAAUAUUUGCUUAAGGAGAAAACAAGUAGAAACAUUAUUUUUAUAAUAUUGAAGGUCGGCUAAGGCUACUUACAUGUACAAAUAAAUCACAAUCUGAUACAUAAACUAAAAACACACACACAAAUUAUGCGCUUGUAAUUUGUUCGGAAGAAAAAAUGGCGAGUAUUUUUCACACGUGAAUUAUAUCUGACGAGUCAGAGUGAAGUGAAGACUGAAGUGGUUGUACAAACACUGAUAAGCAGAAGUGCACAUGGAAAAAUGUCAGGUAUCUCUCAAACCUUGUUGAAAAAUGGAAGUUACAACCAUCUCUGCCCUGCUUCCUUUAUAACCUUAACUAGAUAAAGUAGCUGCUACUGCUGCUAGUCCCCUCCACUGUGCCCAGGGCCACCACUUUCCCUCCCUCCCUCCCUCCCUCCUCAAAUUAUAGGGGGACAGGAAUCUCUCUCUCUCUCUCUCUCUUUUUCCUCUGUUUGGUAUUCAAAAUUCUUCUUUUUCUUUCAUGUGACUUGUGAGCCUAAUAUAUGAACAACAUUUUUAAAAAAAAUGUAUGUAAAAAACAUGAACUUGUUUGGAUUAAAUGAUAUUAAUUUUAUGGAUUUACAUCUCAAACUUUUUCUGGAUAUCAAAAGCCAUAUAACUCUGACUGGAUGAAAUGCCAGAAACCAAUGAUUCAGAGAGAGAGAGAGAGAGAGAGAGAGAGAGAGAGAGAGAGAGAGAGAGAGAGAGAGAGAGAGGGAGAGAGGGAGGGAGGAUCCAAGGAUGAUUAUUUAUAAUAGCAUCCCUAAAUUGGUCGAGUUCACAUAUUUUCCUAGAUUUUACCAGCACUUAAUCUUGAAGUUAACCCUAAUCACACCCAAAUUAACCUACAGCCAUAGAACUAAUCCCUCGUACGAACCUCUUCUGAUCUGCUGUCUGCUACAUUAAGCAAGCUCUUGAUUUUUCUCCACAAGUCUCACUUCUUUUGCAGAUCUAAGAACACUGGCCUGACAAAAAGAAAAGAAAGAGCUUAAUUAAUCAGUUUUAAAUUAACAAUGAUGCAUUAUUAUAUGAAUCACACACCUGGUCAUCAGUAAUUUCCACAGCAAACCCAUCAACGAUGACCAGAGACAAUGUCUUCUUGUAGCUUCCUGGCUCAAGGGUUCUUGCCAACAACUGGUCAUGCUUCCGGCUUAGAUACAAAUCAAGCUCAUUUGUCCCUCUCUUUGUUCUAUGUAUAAAUAAGCAUGUAUUUUUAGAUAAGGAUACUUAUGAAGAAACAAGAGAAGAAGAUGAGCAGCAAGGAGAAGCAAUAUAUACUUACCGAUUAGCUCGAAGGCGUUCGUAUUGAGGAUCGUAGUUCAUGAAAACAAAGUAUGAUUCGAUUUUGGUGUCUUGCAUUGUGGCUAAUUCUAACUUUCUGUGCUCUUUCUUCUUCUAGGGUUAUUGACUGAUGGGCAAUGUGGCCUCAUCUAGUUCUACAUGAUGCUUAUUUAUACUUGAAGUCAUCACAAGAGGCCUACAUUUUUGUUUACAUUAUCAAGUCUAACUUUUUAAGACAAUAUUAUUACAAGAUUUAAGUCUACACACUUAUAAUACGCUACGAAUAAUUUGACUAAAUUACGAUAAAAAAUUCAAAUUUCAUUAUAUUUUUUUGAAAAUAAAAUAUAAUAUAGAAUAAUACUAGACACACGAACUAUUUCAUUAAAUGUUGGGCAAAUAGUACAGUUGCAAACUCAAUUAUCUACUGGGGAAGAAAUUGGAAUCUAAAUAUCUAUUGGGUUGGGAGACAAUAAUGGGGAUGCUUCUAUGGCAACAUUAAAGGUAUUGCCAUCAUUCACACUCGGAAGUUUCUUGCCUAGUGUUUGAAAAAUACAAUUUUAAAUGUCGGCCACACGCUUGCAGUAUAAAAGUCAACACUUAUUAAACAACUUUUUCUUUUUUACAGAACAUUUACGUUAUUUCUACCUAUCUUCCCUAUUUUUUAAUCUGUUUUAUUUUUUCACCGACCAUAUAAAUUUAUAAAAAUACAAUUUUAUAUUUUCAUUCUCCUAAAAUAAUAUUUAAUUAUUAAUUCAAAUAAAUUCCUAUCUUUAUAAAGAGAUAGUAUUAAAUUAAUUCAAUCAAAGCUCCCCCACCCACCCAACCUGAUCAGCACCCUAACCCCGCCGGCGUCAACCACCCCUCUGCUAGCCGAAAACACCGUGUUUUCUCUCUCUUUCUUUUCCCACUCCCACAAGACAGACUAGAUAAAAAUUACGGCUACAAGUCCUCUUCAAAAGUCUAGAAUCUCUAGAAAUAUCAAAAAAGGAAAACCUGUCAAAACAAAUUGCGCUUAGAAUUUUGCCUCUGUAGGAAGGUAGGGUCUGCAUCAGUAUCAACAAACAAAUCAGAUUCUUUUUCUUCUCUUCCUUUUAUGGUUUUACCCAAGUUUGUGUGAGAAGAUGCAUCUUUUCUUCCUCUAGUAUCUGAAUCAGUGCCACCAAGUGGAACUUGUUUGGAUUGGCACAUAACAUAUAGAGAGAGAGAGAGAGAGAGAGAGAGAGAAAGAAAGAGACAGAGAGAUAGAGUGAGAUAGAUAGGAAAGGAGGAUUUGUCGAUGGCAAGGGGGGAGGGGGUCGCUGCCGGCGAGGUGGGAUGGCUAACAAGUCGGUGGGUGGGGGACUUUUGGUGGCUGUUGGGUUUUUGUUUUUGUUCUUAAAAUAAUUAGUUUUAGUUUUUUUAUAUACCAAAAGUUAAGGGAAAUAGCAGCACUCAUUCUCUAUUAGCAAGUAUUAAUUAUAGGCUAGCAAGAAGCAGGUGUGUGGGUGGUGCCUAUUAAUUCUUAAGCAAUUUGAUUAGAGGCAGUAAUUUUUUCCAUUAAGAUAAUUAAUAAUGGAUUCAAUAUUAGAAUAUGUCAUCUGGAUACCGACGGUGACAAAAAAGAGGAUCAUAGAGCCAUUAACCAACUGAUUAGUCAUUCUCUAAUUAAUCUUUUUAGCCAAUAUAGCAAUGACUCGGAAGUCAAAGAUGAAACUAAUAAUACUUUGAUUAUACAAUUAAUUAUCUUGUCAAACAAAACUUUUACUCCAUCAAACAGUGUGCCCUUUACUUUUGUGUGUAUAUGCACGUGUGCACGCAAUGUUUGUAUAUAUAAAUCACACUAAUACAUAAUUUUAUAUUUUAUAAAAUAAUUUAUAAAAAUAAUUUUUAAAUGAAUACUUAAAAAGUAGACAGUUCGAAUUAUUAAAAUACAAUAGAGUGAAACUGUGCAAGUGGCCCUCAAAAAAAUUGUAUGUGUAUAUAGUGCAUGAACCAAUGUAAAAGAUCACAUAAAUUGAAGAAGGAAAAAUAAAUUAAUUUGCUCUGCCUAGUCUUCAAGUUUGUACAAAAAUUAAAUGCCCUUUAAUUAUAACAUCUAGAAGAAACAUUGGGAAGCUUUAUCUACAUGAACAUGGAUAUGAAAAAACGACCCCAUACAUGGCUCUUAUUAUUGGCUGGAAACAAUAAUCGAGAAGAUAGAGUAAUAAUGCCAAAAAGCCCAUCAUGUGAAUGGGGGAAUUCAUAGGGUUUAUUUUUUACUUGAUUAAUCAAUCUGAAAUCAGUUUUCAAAGUCAUAGGAUCUACCAAAGUACCUUCGUAAUCAAAAUGAGAUGAUGUGUUGGAAUUGGUCAAGUCGUAAAGACUGCCAAGUGCAAUGUAUGUGGGUAGGGCUCUAGUUGAUUUAUCAGAAAUUAAGCGGAGAAUUUGAAUUUAUUGAGAUAUGGACUCGUUUAGUUGUGAUUCUAAAUAGACUAGAAUUAUUUAUAAGAAAAAGCACAUUCCACGUGCUUCUCCAUAUAAUCAUUUAGAAUCACUCACAAAUGAGUUCAUAAUUGAUGUUAGGGAUUUGUUUUGUUAUUUCGGGUGUUUAGCCCCUUGUUAGCCAUAGAAGGUGAUUUGUCUUCUGAUUUUAUAAAUAUAGAUUCACGAAAAAUGUUAAAAUGUUUAUAAUGGAGAGGCAUAGUAAAAUGCAAGUAGACAAAAAGACAUGUACGCACAUGACAGCAACUACGUAGUCCUGUCUAGCUCAUUCGCCAGAAUCGUACGUACGUGCAAACAAGUGCAAGUGGAAGGGGUCAACACCAAAUGUACGAACUCCACGUGUCAGUGAUUGAGCUUGUGAAAGGGUAGGGUGGACACUAGACACCCUUUUCAGAUUCUUCCACACAGAGAGAGAGAGAGAGAGAGAGAGGGAACUCUGACUACUUCUCUGUACUCUACUUGUGAGUUUGCUCUGUCAGUCACAUGGUAUGCUGAGUUAUCUUUUGAAUUUAAUGCAUAAAUCUACUUGUGGCCUACAGACUCAAGCAAAAUCUCAUAUAUAUAUUGUGACGAUGUGAACAAAUGUUCAUGUCCGAAAGUUAAGAGAUCUUACAUAGGCUUAAAGAGUUGGGUUAUUCUUUUAUUGUCAAUUGAUUUUGCGUGAAAUUUCAUCUUACCUAAUUUUAUAAUUACGAGAAAGGCUAACAUACCCUAACAUAGAUAAUGUUAUUUACAUAUCUUAGUGUUUUUAUAAAACUUCUCGAGAUUUCGAACUAACUUUUUCAGGUUUAAAAUUGUUUUAACCUUUGAUUUUUGACCAGGUGAGAAAUUGAAGACUGACACUCUUUCAAAGGCCAAUUUGAAGCAAGCUGACCACAUUCCUCACUUAGUCUUUUAAGAGAGAUGGGCUGGGUUGUUGGUUUUCCAUCUUCUCUAUAUGAAUUAUAUAUAUGAAUGGAAGAGAAGAGUAAAUAUUCAAAAGGAACUUUGACUGUGCCAUGUUACACAUAAAUUACCUUAUGUUUGACUGUUAUAGAGCUUGGUUUAGUGAAACUCAGUCUUGCAAUUUAGGUGAAAAUAAUUUUCUUUUCUUUGGUUAGUAAAGGUGAAAAGAUUAAGAGAUUAGGUCUCUCCCCUGCUCGUCUUCAACCGCAGAAGGCUACAAUUGGAGAGAUGAUCAAAACUCUUAAAUAAGUUCAUAUUUGAAGAACAUAGUAACAUCCCUGAAGACAAAAGAGAAGAAUAAAAGGGCUUAUUCUUUUCUGAAUUUUGGGUUUAGGGAUGUAUGUAUAUCGUAUCGAUCGAUCCCUUGUACACACAAGCUGACUGCAUAAAAUUUGACAUUAGUAUCAUUUAAAUCUAAAACUGCUUACAAUAUCUCCAAGAGAGAACAAUAUAUCUCUUUUAUAGAAGGCCUAGCCUCUGGUUUGGCACUUGUACAUGCAAGGGCAAUGUCCAAAACCCCAGACACUUGCCUCCUUUCUUUCCCUUCCUUCACAGCAAACUCAAAAAACUCCGAACCACAUUCUGAUAUCAGGCCUUCCUUCUCUUCCUUUGUGCCUUCUGUCAUUCUCAAACCCUUUGGUCCUGCCAAUACGUCCAGCAGUAUCACCCCAAAGUUGUGAAUGUCACUCUUCUGACUCAGUUCAGCACAGUAAGGAGUUGUUUGCUGCCAGCAUGGCGACUUCAUCAUUUGCCACAUGUUGGGAAUUUCGACCGGCUCCGCCAAUUGGGUGAAUCCAUAAUCGGACAAGCAGGCUGAGAAGUCGAUGUUCACCAUCACAUGGCAUACCCUAAUGCUCCCAUGCACGUUCAUCUGCAUCUUCUUGUCAUAUGAAGGGUAUUGCUCAUGGAUGAAUGCAAUUGCUCGUGCAAUAUGAACAACUAUGGUCAGCCUUUGGUUCCAAUCCAACGCUGUGUGACCAUGUUGCCUAGCACCUUUAUGGUGAAACCAAAAUAAUAAUUCAGUCAUAUAUGACUAGAAAAUAAAAGAUUUGAAUUAUAUGUCAAGGUGUCACAAAAAUGAAAAAUAUAAUUUUAGGUCGACAACAUCAGAGUUGAUCUUAAGGGAUUUAAAAGGUCUGUGAGAGUAUGCAAAAACGUCUUUGGAAUGGUUAAAAGCACUUCCAAACAAACCUUAAUCUAAGAUAUUGUCCAUGAUUGGUAAUACUGAACGAAAUAAUUCUCCACUCAUUUUUUUGGUAUUGAUCUUGUGUUGAUGUCCAAAAAGAUAUCGUUUGAAGCUUAUUGAUUCAACAAAACAACCUAAUUUUAUCGGUAAGUACAAGAUCAUCAAUAAAUCAACAGAGGAUCCAAAGUUACUACUACGUUAUGAUGAUUAAAAGUUCUAAUUAUUGUGUUCGAUAGAAAUAGACAAACCCAGUUUUUUUAAGGUUAUGAAAACACUUUCGAUCUUCAUGUGAAGCACUUGAAAAUAAAUAUGUAACACGUAUUUAGGAAUAAUUAAGAUAUGCUUUAAUUUAAACUUACCAGCAAGCAAGUCAGCAAGGCUUCCCAUGGGGUAGUAAUCAGAGAGAACAAACUUGAUCCUCUUAGCAUACAAAUAAGCAAUGACAGGCACAAGAUACUCACUCUUCUCACUCACCUUAGCCAAGUGCUCUAUUCUCUUCCCAAAGUCACGACUCCCACAGCUCACCUUCCUAAACCUCUUCACAGCACAAACCCUACCACCCAACAACACCACCUUCUCAGUCAUCCCCAGCCUGCUCUCCCCUAUCACACCCACCGAACCUCUCAGCACACCCCUCAGCGUCAAGUGGGACAGCCCUUCCCCACAUCCAAGACACUUCCUGUCGUGUCCACAGCGGACAAGUGGCAGGUCCUGCAUGAACCCUACGAUGCAGUCUUCGUAGUCGUUGAACGAGCUGGUGGUGUAGCCUUGUUGUGGGUCUUGAUCUUCAUUUUUGGGGCUCUUUCUGGGCUUUGCAGUUAAGGCUCUUGACAACAUAGUUUCAGAGAGGAAUUUUGAAGAGAGGAUUUGUAAUGUCAAAUGUGUUUUGGUGUUUUGGUGAGAAUUAUGGCGUGUGGUUGUUCUUCUUGUUGGUUGUGAUUUUGAUUCAUAGUGACGUUUCUUGGUUGUAUCAAUCCAGCUAGCUUGGUGCUUCCUUAUUGGGCCCUUGGGUUUCAGAAAAUCCAAAUGUGGAAUCUGAUAUUUUUCGAACUUUGGCCAGCCUACCAAACCAAACACAUGGUAUAUAUAAUUCAUAUUUCCAUGGUGUUAUUCAGACUAGGGUUCUGCAGAUCCAAUUCAAUCCUCUAAAAUCAACCUAUUCAAUUCAAUUUAAUUCAAUUUUUAUUGGUUUCGAAAACAUUGGUAUAUUGAAUUGGAUCAGAAAAAUAGAAAUUCAAUUAAAUCGGUUUGGAUAACAAAUCAAGAAUUAAAAAUCCAACCUAAACCGAACCGAUCCAAUAUACACAUUAAUAUACAUUCAUAUUGUAUAAUAUCUACACUUUCAUCUUAUUUCUCACUAAUAUAUUAAUCUUACUUACAACAAAAUUAAAACAUUAACAUAUUAAAUAUAUUAUUGUAGUAAUUUAUAUUAAAAACUAAUAUAUUAAUGUCAUAUCUUUGAUCAUAUUGAAAUUUGUGUUAUAUGUAAUGAAAGAUUAUGAAGUUUUUUUGUGAUGAUUAUUUUUUCAUACAAACCGAUUAUCCAAUCCAAUCCAAUCCAAUGUAUAUUGGUUUAGAUUGGAUUGGAUCCUAACAUCCGACCAUUUUGGAUUGGAUUGUAAAAUUUGUAAUCCAAUAAAAGAUUGGAUAUGAUUGAAUUGGUAAAAAAUCAUUGGUUUCAAACCGAUGCUCACUCCUAAUUAAGACCUCUUAUUUACAUGCUAAAUUUACUAAACACACCAUUUCCAACCUCAUAAUAUGUAUUUACCUCUUUUUAGAAGGAAAAACAAAAAAAAGGAUGUUACAUAACCUAUAUGGCAAUACUUUUAGAAGGCUAAGAAGCGUUUUUGAAAGCAUUGGUCAUAAUAAAUAAAAAGUGCUUAUAAGUUUUAAAAGCUGAGUGAUGCCAUCAUGACAUUUUCACAAUAUGUAUGAGAAAACUUUGUUCCCUCAAAUUCAAGUGAUUGUAAAAGACUCUUCCACGAUGCACCGUAAGAAUUUCCACAGCUAUAAAAGAAUCAUUUGUGAAUGAAUGCCAAUGGAGUUUUUAAAAAAAAUAAAAUUUAAAUAUAUUUAAAUAAAUACUUUUAAUCACUUGAAUUACGAACGUCUUGCAGAAAAAUUAGGAGUUAGGAAAAUGUUUAGAUUGCUUAAAAUAGGGUUUUUAACAAUGUAAGCCCAAGAAUGUCUUCACCAAAGGGCACAAGAUAAGACCACUCCAAAUGUUGUGGAGUUGGGUUGAGAAAAGGCUUGCCCAAAACUUAGAGCAUGAGAUUCAAAUGGCCCACAUGCAGUAUUUGGUUCAAGCUGGCAUUGAUUAAGAUUUGGCAUAAACAAAACUAAUGAUAAGAACAGAAGAUUCAAACUUUCACAUAAGAUCUCCAAAAAAAUAAUAUAUUUUUGGGACAUUAUUGCUGUUGGAGUAAAAAAUACUACAACUGCGCCACGUAGCAAUCGCAACAUAAAAUAGCGGUGGUGAGCAUGUGUCUUCUGUUCCAAAGUCGCCCUCCUAGAGUCUUGGUCAGCCUCACUCGUUUUCUCCCCCUUCUAACACGUCCUGAGUGACGUCAUUUCCGACCCCUUCUCACACCCGGCAGGCACCCAGUUUUACUAAAAUACACCCUUCUCCAAUGUUAUUUGACCCUUUUUGAUUUACUAUUUGAGAGAAGCCUCUUUGUCAAUAUUUUUUUGCAAAAUUUCAAUUGCGUCUCUAAUACGAGGAAAUUUUAAGAAAAAAAGUCUUAGUUGUCGCCUCUUUUUGGGGGUUGGUUAUUUCUUUUUUUACCUCAUCCUCUCUCAUUGUAUACUUUCUUUUCUCAUUCUCUUAAUUUUCCUUCAAGAUUAUUAGUUUAUUUUGUGAAACGAUGUCGUUGUCAUGAUAUAGUCAUUGUAUUUUAGCCCACGUACACAAAGAGUUGGCUCCAUUCAACAUAAUUUGGAGCUCUAAAGAGGGGAAUAUGUCUGUUUGUGCUAAGUUCGGGUUUAACCAGUGCGUGACAAUGGAUUUAGCCGGUAUGGCACUAUGAUUUUCUUUGAGUUGCCUGGAAGAUAUGGAGCGGUGGUCCUGUUUUUUAGUUUUGUUUUAGACCAAUAAUUUUAGAAACUCUUUAGGAGUUUGUUGUGAUUUGUUUUCUAUUUAGGAUUUUUUAUUUAUUUUUAGCUUUUGACUUUCGAUACUGAUUUUUCGUUUCUGCCGUUGAGCGGCAGAUUUGUAUUGUAGGUCUUGAUAAAUGUGCUUUUGGUUGCUGGAUCGGGAAUUUAAUCAUUGUUCGAAUUGUGCGUGAUUCUUUCUAGAUUAAUUCAACAUAUUGUGUUUGGUCACUAUAAAAGAUUUACCUAUAUUUAGCACAUAGUUUUGCUCUGUACUUUUGUGCAUGCUUUUAAGUUUGACAAAUAGGAUGCUAGUCGACCCAAAGAUUUCGUAUUGUAAAUAAGUUUUGUUUAUUACAAAAAAUUCUUUAGCAAACUCAUUUAUUAGCGAGACCUGAAUUUUGCUCAUCUAAUGACUUUUAGCUCUUCAAUUAAAUUUUCUACAUUAAAACAAGAAACAAUACAAUCAAUCCAAAAGUCAGAUGACUUUUAGCUCUUCCAUAUUUAUGUCACCUCAUCACUAUGAGAGAGUAUAGUAAAACGAUGAAGAGUCUCUGGAGAUGCUCCUCCUAGUAAGCUUGGGUGAAUGGCAAAUAUGUAAAUUCGACAAGAGAACGAGCCCUUAUUUGGAAAUUGGAUCCAUGUGAUCGUGCCCGCAUUUUCCAAGUCAACUCAGUCGAAUCUCAUAUCGCUCCAACUAACGGCUCUCCUGUGAACCCAAACUAACCGGAAACCCCCUCCCUCCAAUCACGUGGCCGGUCACCCCAUUGCCCGCUGCCCGCCUUUUCCUCCUCCCUCACUCAAAUAGUCACAAAUUUCAAACCCGAACUGCCCGAUCUGCCCGAAACACACCCCUUAUAAGUUAUAUAUAUCACCACCAACCGCUCAUCUUCUCCAAUUCACAAAAUGGCCAAACUCGUCUUCUUCCUCGUCGCUCUCCUCUUCCUCUUCUCCUUCUCCUUCUCCCACGCCCUCACGCCGUCCGAUCUACCCGAGAAGGAAACCAACGGCCGCGAUCCAGCCAACACCAAGUUUCCCGAAUCCGAAUCCAAGCCCGCGACCGCCAUACUCUUACCCAGCGAGAAACGUGACUCCGAACCCGCCAAGGUCUUCGAAUGGAUACCGGAGGCCGCCGAUACGAAGCUUCCGGAUUCUGAUGGCCCCACCAUCUUGGCCAACGAAGAGUCGACUGAGUUCACACACAGCGAGUCCGUUCCGUUGACCGUCAUCAGCUUCCGCCCCGUCAACCGCCACUUCCCCAGGCGCCCCUUCCCGUUAUCGUUCCGUCACGGACACCGUUGCCGCCAUGGCCGCCGCCAGGUCGGGCCGUGGAGCCCACGCUUCCACGGAGGAGAACGCGACCGCGACGUCGUUUCGUACGGCGACGACAUGAUCCUCGGCGACGACUUGGCUUUCGAUCAGGUGUUUCACGGCGGACCGCGCCAGAUCCCUCCUAGGUGGGGCAGUUUCCGCCACGGUGGGCCCAGGUUCCCGUUCAGGCACGACGACAACAUGGAAUUGGAGAGGCCGCAUCACCAUCAUCACCAUCGCCACGACCACGACCACGACAGCAAAGAAUUUGAAGGAAUGGAGAAGCCGAGAGAGCACAGGCAUGAACACGAACGAGAGCAGGAGGGUGGUUUGAUGAGAAGGUUCCGCAAGUUCUUGAACCGCUUUUGAGUUUUGAAGCGACUAUCUUAAUCUUAUCUGUUUUUAGUUUUACUUGUACCAGCUUAUCUUAUGUUACUCUGUUUCUGUAAAUAACCAUG
Molecule: long non-coding RNA, 36951 nt
Filed under: Prunus persica (peach)
Lineage: Eukaryota; Viridiplantae; Streptophyta; Magnoliopsida; Rosales; Rosaceae
Description: long non-coding RNA (PPER_LNC005454)
Rfam family: MIR473 microRNA precursor family (bases 25178-25255)
Source: RNAcentral